CUUCGGGGCGGGGUGUGAUUCCCCACCGGCGGUGAUGCUUUCUAUAAUAGAAAGAUAAGCCCGCGAGCAGAAUGCAGAACCGGUGUGAAUCCGGUGCCGACGGUAUAGUCCGGAUGGAAGAAGAU
Molecule: non-coding RNA, 125 nt
Filed under: bovine gut metagenome
Description: FMN riboswitch (RFN element)
Rfam family: FMN riboswitch aptamer (RFN element)
About the family: The RFN element is a highly conserved domain that is found frequently in the 5'-untranslated regions of prokaryotic mRNAs that encode for flavin mononucleotide (FMN) biosynthesis and transport proteins.
Source: RNAcentral